Molecule: ribosomal RNA, 464 nt
Filed under: uncultured bacterium
Lineage: Bacteria
Description: partial 16S ribosomal RNA
Rfam family: Bacterial small subunit ribosomal RNA
Source: RNAcentral
GACGAACGCUGGCGGCGUGCUUAACACAUGCAAGUCGAACGGAAAGGCCCUGCUUGCAGGGUACUCGAGUGGCGAACGGGUGAGUAACACGUGGGUGAUCUGCCCUCCACUUCGGGGUAAGCCUGGGGAACUGGGUCUAAUACCGGGUAGAAGCCAUUCUUAGUGUGAUGGUUGGAAAGUUUUUUCGGUGUGGGAUGAGCUCGCGGCCUAUCGGCUUGUUGGUGGGGUAAUGGCUUACAAAGGCGGCGAUGGGUAGCCGGCCGGGAGGGGGGACCGGCCAAAUGGGGCCUAGGUUCGGCCCAGGCCUCCACGGGGGGCAAGAGGUGGGAAUAUUGCACCAUGGGCGGAAGCCUGAUGCAGGGACGCCGCGUGGGGGAUGAAGGGCUUCGGGUUGGAAACUCGUUUCGCUCGGGACGAAGCUGUUUGUGACGGUAACGAGAUAAGAAGCACCGGCUAACUACGUG